This 624-nucleotide long non-coding RNA is filed under the name Homo sapiens (human). RNAcentral describes it as "non-protein coding lnc-PIK3AP1-4:1". The record is from RNAcentral. Lineage: Eukaryota; Metazoa; Chordata; Mammalia; Primates; Hominidae.
AAGGUAAGCACCAAUUUUCAAGUUCAAUAGUGCCCUUUUCACCUGUUUGCUAUUACCUGGGGCAUCAUUUGUUCAUUUACCCAACAGAGUAAGCCAGAUGGUAGCACCAAACUUCUGGCUGGGGUGGGUUGUUAUGCAACAAUAGAUAACUGAUAUUGUGACCACGUGGCUGCCUGGGGCACUCCAGCUUUGGAGCUUAGCUGGGAGGGAAUGGAAAUCAGCAAGGGAGGUGACCUAUUCUUGAAUAGACCAUGGUAGUUGUACUAGGAAUGUAAUCACCCAGUGGAUUCUUCCUGCCUGUUGCACAGACCAAAUCAAUUCACCAACACCAUAGCAUUGCAGUAGAGAACGAGUUUGAUUGAAGUGAGGCCUGCCCACAUGGGAGAGUUGAGUUAUCACUCAAACCAGUAUCCCUGAAGUCUCAGAGGUUAGGGUUUUUAUGGCAAAUUUGGUGGGCAGGGGACUAGAGAAUGGGUGCUGCUGAUUGGUUGGGGGGUGAAAUCACAAGGAUGUGGAAAAUGCUCCACAUCCAUUGAGUCACAGGAUCAGUUGAGUCAUUAGUUACAAGUCUGGGUGGGGUUGUCUGAAAGAUAUCUCAAAAAUCCAAUCUUAGGUUCUACAAUA